RNAcentral lists this ribosomal RNA (353 nucleotides) under uncultured bacterium. Its description in RNAcentral is "partial 16S ribosomal RNA". It matches the Rfam family "Bacterial small subunit ribosomal RNA", at positions 338 to 708 of the family's 1533-position model. The record is from RNAcentral.
CCUACGGGUGGCAGCAGUGGGGGAUAUUGCACAAUGGGGGGAACCCUGAUGCAGCGACGCCGCGUGGGUGAAGAAGCGCCUCGGCGCGUAAAGCCCUGUCAGCAGGGAAGAAAAUGACGGUAUCUGAAGAAGAAGCCCCGGCUAACUACGUGCCAGCAGCCGCGGUAAUACGGAGGGGGCAAGCGUUAUCCGGAUUGACUGGGUGUAAAGGGGGCGCAGACGGCGAUGCAAGCCAGGAGUGAAAGCCCGGGGCCCAACCCCGGGACUGCUCUUGGAACUGCGUGGCUGGAGUGCAGGAGGGGUAGGUGGAAUUCCUGGUGUAGCGGUGAAAUGCGUAGAGAUCAAGAGGAAUA